Molecule: transfer RNA, 76 nt
Filed under: Rickettsiales bacterium
Lineage: Bacteria; Pseudomonadati; Pseudomonadota; Alphaproteobacteria; Rickettsiales
Description: tRNA-Phe
Rfam family: tRNA
About the family: Transfer RNA (tRNA) molecules are approximately 80 nucleotides in length.
Source: RNAcentral
GGUUAGGUAGCUCAGUUGGUAGAGCAAAGGACUGAAAAUCCUUGUGUCGGGGGUCCGAUUCCCUCCCUAACCACCA